RNAcentral lists this ribosomal RNA (369 nucleotides) under uncultured Pseudomonadota bacterium. RNAcentral describes it as "bacterial SSU rRNA". It matches the Rfam family "Bacterial small subunit ribosomal RNA", at positions 527 to 896 of the family's 1533-position model. The record is from RNAcentral. Lineage: Bacteria; Pseudomonadati; Pseudomonadota.
GUAGGGUGCGAGCGUUAAUCGGAAUUACUGGGCGUAAAGCGUGCGCAGGCGGUUAUAUAAGACAGAUGUGAAAUCCCCGGGCUCAACCUGGGACCUGCAUUUGUGACUGUAUAGCUAGUGUACGGUAGAGGGGGAUGGAAUUCCGCGUGUAGCAGUGAAAUGCGUAGAUAUGCGGAGGAACACCGAUGGCGAAGGCAAUCCCCUGGACCUGUACUGACGCUCAUGCACGAAAGCGUGGGGAGCAAACAGGAUUAGAUACCCUGGUAGUCCACGCCCUAAACGAUGUCAACUGGUUGUUGGGUCAUCACUGACUCAGUAACGAAGCUAACGCGUGAAGUUGACCGCCUGGGGAGUACGGCCGCAAGGUUA